RNAcentral lists this ribosomal RNA (253 nucleotides) under uncultured bacterium. RNAcentral's name for it is "partial 16S ribosomal RNA". It matches the Rfam family "Bacterial small subunit ribosomal RNA", at positions 524 to 776 of the family's 1533-position model. The record is from RNAcentral.
UACGAAGGGGACUAGCGUUGUUCGGAAUUACUGGGCGUAAAGCGCGCGCAGGCGGUCUUCCAAGUCAGUGGUGAAAGCCCGGAGCUCAACUCCGGAACUGCCAUUGAAACUGUUGGACUUGAGUACGAGAGAGGUGAGUGGAAUUCCCAGUGUAGAGGUGAAAUUCGUAGAUAUUGGGAAGAACACCGGUGGCGAAGGCGGCUCACUGGCUCGUAACUGACGCUCAGGCGCGACAGCGUGGGGAUCAAACAGG